AUUUAUGAGUAUUGGUCUGAAUUCUUGAGCUUCUCUUCUCUGUAUUUCAGUUUGAUCUUCACAAUGAAGACCAUCAUAAGCCUCUUCCUCCUUUCCUUUGUCUUGACUGUCAACAGUCAGAAUGCAGAUAGAAAGUGGUUUGGCGAAGGUGUUAAGGAAGUGUGUUCGUUUAUCUGUGAGGUGGAUUCUGUUAAUGAUUUACCUCCUGGUGGAAAUGAUGCAACCGGUUAUAAUGGGGAUUCCACAUUUAAAAGCAACAUCCAGAAAGAUGAUGCUGCAGGCCGAUGCUUCCAUUAAUCUGUUUAGUACACAAAUGGCAGGAACCUUGACUCCUAAGCUGGCUUUGCUCCUUGAUAACUCCUCUACAUAGCUUGUGAGCUUCUCCUGGAGUAACCCUUCUUCCUUGCUCCCCCAACCUACUAUUGCAUGUUGCAUUUAAUAAACAUCAGUGCUGAACAUAAACUUUCCUUAAU
Molecule: long non-coding RNA, 473 nt
Filed under: Monodelphis domestica (gray short-tailed opossum)
Lineage: Eukaryota; Metazoa; Chordata; Mammalia; Didelphimorphia; Didelphidae
Description: lncRNA (ENSMODG00000032148.2)
Source: RNAcentral